CUGAACGCUGGCGGCGUGGUUAAAGCAUGCAAGUCGAGCGGACCCGCAAGGGUUAGCGGCGAAAGGGUGAGUAAAAGUAUCCAACGUACCCCGAGGUGUGGGAUAGGCAGGGGAAACCCGGCAUAAUACCACAUGAUCUCUACGGAGCAAAGAUUUAUCGCCUUGGGAGCGGGGAUACACCUAUCAGGUAGUUGGCGGGGUAACGGCCCACCAAGCCGAAGACGGGUAGCAGGUGUGAGAGCACGGCCUGCCACAUCGAAACUGAGACACUGUUCGGACUCCUACGGGAGGCUGCAGCGACGAAUCUUCCGCAAUGGGCGAAAGCCUGACGGAGCGACGCCGCGUGUGGGAUGAAGCGGCUUUGCCGUGUAAACCACUGUCAGGGAAUAGAAACAUUGAUCAUUUCCAAAGGAAGGGGCGACUAACUCUGU
RNAcentral lists this ribosomal RNA (431 nucleotides) under uncultured bacterium. RNAcentral describes it as "bacterial SSU rRNA". It matches the Rfam family "Bacterial small subunit ribosomal RNA", at positions 30 to 506 of the family's 1533-position model. The record is from RNAcentral.